GGAGAGGGACCGGCAGGCGGCGGAGAGGGAGAGGGAGAAUGAGGAGAGGACGGCUAGGCUGUUGGAGGAGGAGAGGAACCAGAACGACUCGGCUAACCGGGCCAUGUACGAUCUCUUCGUGUCCAUGUGCGAGAAGAACGGCCAGACCCCUCCGCCAAUGCCAGUCCUUGCUCCGGCGGGCACG
Long non-coding RNA from Triticum dicoccoides, 184 nucleotides. RefSeq lists it as uncharacterized. The record is from RefSeq and is a predicted model, not a curated record. The transcript is spliced from 2 exons. NCBI's taxonomy places the organism in Eukaryota, Viridiplantae, Streptophyta, Magnoliopsida, Poales, Poaceae.